CCUACGGGAGGCAGCAGUGAGGAAUAUUGGUCAAUGGGCGGGAGCCUGAACCAGCCAAGCCGCGUGAGGGAGGAAGGCGCAGAGCGUCUCAGACCUCUUUUGCCGGGGGACAAAAGGCCGGACUCGUCCGGUCCUGAGGGUACCCGGAGAAAAAGCAUCGGCUAACUCCGGGCCAGCAGCCGCGGUAAUACGGAGGAUGAGAGCGUUAUCCGGAUUUAUUGGGUUUAAAGGGAGCGUAGGUGGAUUGUUAAGUAAGUUGUGAAAGUUUGCGGCUCAACCGUAAAAUUGCAGUGGAAACUGGCAGUCUUGAGUACAGUAGAGGUGGGCGGAAUUCGUGGUGUAGCGGUGAAAUGCUUAGAUAUCACGAAGAACUCCGAUUGCGAAGGCAGUUCACUGGACUGCAACUGACACUGAGGCUCGAAAGUGUGGGUAUCAAACAGGAUUAGAUACCCGUGUAGUC
RNAcentral lists this ribosomal RNA (460 nucleotides) under uncultured bacterium. Its description in RNAcentral is "partial 16S ribosomal RNA". It matches the Rfam family "Bacterial small subunit ribosomal RNA", at positions 338 to 795 of the family's 1533-position model. The record is from RNAcentral.